This 253-nucleotide ribosomal RNA is filed under the name uncultured bacterium. Its description in RNAcentral is "partial 16S ribosomal RNA". It matches the Rfam family "Bacterial small subunit ribosomal RNA", at positions 524 to 776 of the family's 1533-position model. The record is from RNAcentral.
GACGAAGGGGGCUAGCGUUGUUCGGAAUUACUGGGCGUAAAGGGCUCGUAGGCGGCCAACUAAGUCAGACGUGAAAUCCCUCGGCUUAACCGGGGAACUGCGUCUGAUACUGGAUGGCUUGAAUCCGGGAGAGGUCCACGGAAUUGCCGGUGUAGUGGUGAAAUGCGUAGAGAUCGGCAGGAACACCCAGGGGGAAACCAGUGGACUGGCACGGUGCUGACGCUCAGGUGCGAAAGCGUGGGGAGCGAACCGG